CCGGGGUCUGCCGCGUGGCUGGUAGUUAUGGUGGUUCACGUCGGUGCUGAACUUAGCAGGCGUCCUCGGGCCUGCGGUGAUGGCCUUUGUUUGCCAUCUGCAGAGACGGCGAGAAGCAGAGCGGCAGGUUGAAGCUUCAGAGUAUGGAUGGAGCCUUAAAAUGAAUUAAAGGUGGUGGUUGUGGACUUUUAAAAAAGCCAUGUGAAAACUCAUCGUGAGAUGUUGGCUGUCAGAAUCUUCACGAUGACAUUUCUGUAAAUGUCUUGGCCUCAAUUUCUGAGGCUGAAAAAGGGUCUUCUAGCAGCUACACUGUGGCAGCUUCCCUGGCCCUGGACCUGAAGGAGACUGUCGAGUGCGUGUGAGCACGUGAGACCUUCCGCACAGGCUUAGGUUAUCUGCCGGUGGUGUCAGAUGGGAUCAGCACAGCCCUGCCUCUGCUGCCAAUUGCUAAUGCCCAUAAAUAAUCUCCCCAAAAAGAAUCAUUUAAGAGUUCUUCAUCUUUAAAAGAAUCUAAGUGACUUGAGAUUAUCCCAGUAAACCUUUGGCAGUUAGUGAAAUUACUGUCCAACUAAGAAUAUUCAGACCUCCAGUUUGGGUGAUCUGGGUAUAAUCUCACAAUUCAAUAGUUCUGCAAUGAUUGUAAAAUGAAAUUAAUUAAUCUUUAUACUCUGUUAGGGGAGACUAAAGGGAAAUGUAUUUCCUAUGAAAUCAUUAUGUGUUGGGUUUAAAUUUUGAAGCACAAAUAAAAGUUUUUUUAAUUGACUCA
Non-coding RNA from Microcebus murinus (gray mouse lemur), 766 nucleotides. The record is from RefSeq and is a predicted model, not a curated record. NCBI's taxonomy places the organism in Eukaryota, Metazoa, Chordata, Mammalia, Primates, Cheirogaleidae.